UGGCUCAGAUUGAACGCUGGCGGCAGGCCUAACACAUGCAAGUCGAGCGGUAGAGAGGUGCUUGCACCUCUUGAGAGCGGCGGACGGGUGAGUAAUGCCUAGGAAUCUGCCUGGUAGUGGGGGAUAACGCUCGGAAACGGACGCUAAUACCGCAUACGUCCUACGGGAGAAAGCAGGGGACCUUCGGGCCUUGCGCUAUCAGAUGAGCCUAGGUCGGAUUAGCUAGUUGGUGGGGUAAUGGCUCACCAAGGCGACGAUCCGUAACUGGUCUGAGAGGAUGAUCAGUCACACUGGAACUGAGACACGGUCCAGACUCCUACGGGAGGCAGCAGUGGGGAAUAUUGGACAAUGGGCGAAAGCCUGAUCCAGCCAUGCCGCGUGUGUGAAGAAGGUCUUCGGAUUGUAAAGCACUUUAAGUUGGGAGGAAGGGCAUUAACCUAAUACGUUAGUGUUUGACG
Molecule: ribosomal RNA, 458 nt
Filed under: Pseudomonas sp. R-45533
Lineage: Bacteria; Pseudomonadati; Pseudomonadota; Gammaproteobacteria; Pseudomonadales; Pseudomonadaceae
Description: bacterial SSU rRNA
Rfam family: Bacterial small subunit ribosomal RNA
Source: RNAcentral